GGUUUGAUUAUGGCUCAGAUUGAACGCUAGCAGGAUGCCUUACACAUGCAAGUCCGAACGGCAGCACGGACUUCGGUCUGGUGGCGAGUGGCGAACGGGUGAGUAAUGUAUCGGAACGUGCCCAGUAGCGAGGGGAUAACUGCGCAGCGUAGCUAAUACCGCAUACGCCCUACGAGAAAACAGGGGAUCGCAAGACCUUGCACUAUUGGAGCAGCCGAUAUCGGAUUAGCUAGUUGGUGGGGUAACGGCUCACCAAGGCGACGAUCCGUAGCUGGUUUGAGAGGACGACCAGCCACACUGCUGGGACUGAGACGGCCCAGACUCCUACGGGAGGCAGCAGUGGGAAUUUUGGACAAUGAAACCCUGAUCCAGCCAUCCCGCGUGUGCGAUGAAGACCUUCGGGUUGUAAAGCACUUUUAGCAGGAGGUUCGAUUCUGGCUCAGAUUGAACGCUGGCGGGAUGCUUUGCACACAUGCAAAUCGAACGGCAGCACGGACUUCGGUCUGGUGGCGAGUAGCGAACGGGUGAGUAAUGUAUCGGAACGUGCCUAGUAGCGGGGGAUAACUACGCGAAGGCGUAGCUAAUACCGCAUACGCCCUUCGGGGGAAAGCGGGGGACCUUCGAGCCUCGCACUAUUAGAGCGGCCGAUAUCGGAUUAGCUAGUUGGUGGGGUAACGGCUCACCAAGGCGACGAUCCGUAGCUGGUUUUGAGAGGACGACCAGCCACUGGGACUGAGACACGGCCCAGACUCCUACGGGAGGCAGCAGUGGGGAAUUUUUGGACAAUGGGGAAACCCUGAUCCAGCCAUCCCGCGUGUGCGAUGAAGGCCUUCGGGUUGUAAAGCACUUUUGGCAGGAAAGAAACGGCACGGGAUAAUACCCCGUGCAACUGACGAAAACCUGCAGAAUAAGCACCGGCUAACUACGUACUUGCAACAGCCGCGGUAAUACGUAGGGUGCAAGCGUUAAUCAGGAUACUGGGCGUAAAGCGUGCGCAGGCGGUUCGGAAAAGAAAGAUGUGAAAUCCCAGAGCUUAACUUUGGAACUGCAUUUUAACUACCGAGCUGGGGAAAUUAUGUCCAGAGGGAGGUGGAAUUCCGCGUGUAGCAGUGAAAUGCGUAGAUAUGCGGAGGAACACCGAUGGCGAAAGCAGCCUCCUGGGAUAACACUGACGCUCAUGCACGAAAGCGUGGGGAGCAAACGGGAUUAGAUACUGUUGUAGUCCACGCCCUAAACGAUGUCAACUAGCUGUUGGGGCCUUCGGGCCUUGGUAGCGCAGCUAACGCGUGAAGUUGACCGCACAAGUACGGUCGCAAGAUUAAAGCUCAAAGGAAUUGACGGGGACCCGCACAAGCGGUGGAUGAUGUGGAUUAAUUCGAUGCAACGCGAAAAACCUUACCUACCCUUGACAUGUCUGGAAUGCCGAAGAGAUUUGGCAGUGCUCGCAAGAGAACCGGAACACAGGUGCUGCAUGGCUGUCGUCAGCUCGUGUCGUGAAGAUGUUGGGUUAAGUCCCCGCAACGAGCGCAACCCUUGUCAUUAGUUGCUACGAAAGGGCACUCUAAUGAGACUGCCGGUGACAAACCGGAGGAAGGUGGGGAUGACGUCAAGUCCUCAUGGCCCUUAUGGGUAGGGCUUCACACGUCAUACAAUGGUCGGGACAGAGGGGUCGCCAACCCGCGAGGGCCAAUGCGAAACCCGAUCGUAGUCCGGAUCUGAUCUGCAACUCGACUGCGUGAAGUCGGAAUCGCUAGUAAUCGCGGAUCAGCAUGUCGCGGUGAAUACGUUCCCGGGUCUUGUACACACCGCCCGUCACACCAUGGGAGUGGGCUUUACCAGAAGUAGUUAGCCUAACCGCAAGGGGCGAUUACCACAGUAGGAUUCAUGACUGGGGUGAAGUCGUAACAAGGUAG
This 1913-nucleotide unclassified non-coding RNA is filed under the name uncultured Bordetella sp. Its description in RNAcentral is "partial 16S-23S ribosomal RNA intergenic spacer". The stretch from base 417 to 1913 matches the Rfam family "Bacterial small subunit ribosomal RNA". Lineage: Bacteria; Pseudomonadati; Pseudomonadota; Betaproteobacteria; Burkholderiales; Alcaligenaceae. The record is from RNAcentral.